ACAGGUUGUUGCUGGCUCCUCACGCAUGUGCACACUUGUCGUUUUAUUUAUUUAUUUCUCCACUGUGCACCAUCUGUAUGUCUGGAGUUUUUGUUUGAAAUCCUUUUGUUUGCGAUUGAGGAUUGCUGUCUCACCUUUGCCUUGCAUCUCCGGGUCUAUAUCUUAUACAAUCACUCACUGUGUUUGGAAUGUUGAAUUGCAUAUAUAUAUAUACAACUUUCAACAACGGAUCUCUUGGCUCUCCAUCUUGAAAACCAACAAAUGCAUAACUAAUGUGAAUUGCAAUUCAGUGAAUCUCUAAUCUUUGAACCAUCUUGCCUCCUUGGUAUUCUGAGAGCAUGCCUGUUCAGGUCAUCAAGUUCCACCACGUUGAUUUGCUUCUCUGGAUUGGAUUUGGGGUUUGCAGCCUUUUCAAAAGGGUCUGCUUUCCUAAAAUGAAUUAGUGGUAUAUCUGAGCAGAGACUUAUGUACUACAGGUGUGAUAACUAUCUAUGCCGUUGUACAGUGCUGCACAUACACCACUUAGAGAAUCUCAUUGUUGACCACUUUGACCUCACAUCAGGUAGACUACCCGCUGAACUUAAGCAUAUCAGUAAGCGGAAGAAAACAAACUAACGAUGAUUCCCCUACUGACUGCGAGUGAAGCGGGAAAAGCUCAUAUUUGAAAUCUGGCCGUUUUUACCUCCGAAUUGUAAUCAGAAGAAGUGUUACCCGUGCUGGACCGUGUAC
This 729-nucleotide ribosomal RNA is filed under the name uncultured Inocybe. RNAcentral's name for it is "eukaryotic LSU rRNA". The stretch from base 549 to 729 matches the Rfam family "Eukaryotic large subunit ribosomal RNA", at positions 1 to 182 of the family's 3401-position model. The record is from RNAcentral. Lineage: Eukaryota; Fungi; Basidiomycota; Agaricomycetes; Agaricales; Cortinariaceae.